GCCAUGAUGAUUACGGUAAUCUUUGGAUUACCAAGACGUAUAAAUGCACCUCUAAUUGUCCGUCUUUUAAAACAGCAUUUUCUCGAUCAGGAUCGCACGUAUUGCAAAUGUCUUCAGCGCGUAGGUACUGUGGUGGUAACACGAAAGCCUACAUGCCGAGAUAUCACUUGAUGGACUUUGAUGGGGACGGGAAGGCCGACAUGUACUGCCACAGGACUGCCACGAACCAGGAGAACAGCGUCCUCCUUGGGAGAGCCCGCCCAUUCAAGGACUCGGACCAGUGUGUCUGGACCUCCACCAACGACUACUGUAACACAAAGGGAGACCUGCUCAUCUUUGGUAAAUUUCUCCAGACAAAG
Molecule: long non-coding RNA, 359 nt
Organism: Lineus longissimus
Lineage: Eukaryota; Metazoa; Nemertea; Pilidiophora; Heteronemertea; Lineidae
Exons: 3
Source: RefSeq, a predicted model, not a curated record